Molecule: ribosomal RNA, 253 nt
Filed under: uncultured bacterium
Lineage: Bacteria
Description: partial 16S ribosomal RNA
Rfam family: Bacterial small subunit ribosomal RNA
Source: RNAcentral
AUUGAACGCUGGCGGCGUGCUUAACACAUGCAAGUCGAUCGGGUAACAGGGUGUAGCAAUACAUGCUGACGAGAGGCGGACGGGUGAGUAAUGCUUGGGAAUCUGCCUAUUAGUGGGGGACAACCCGGGGAAACUCGGGCUAAUACCGCAUACGCUCUACGGAGGAAAGCCGGGGACCGCAAGGCCUGGCGCUAAUAGAUGAGCCCAAGUCGGAUUAGCUAGUUGGUAGGGUAACGGCCUACCAAGGCGACAA